UUUUUUUUUUUUUUUUACCCAAUAGUCUCCUGUUGAAUCUCAAAAUUGUGCUGUAUAUAGAUGAGGAUGGAAGUAAUUCUAAAAGCCAGACCAUUUCCCUCCUCCUCAUUUUCGGAAACUGAUCUAACUUAUUUAGAAAUGCUUAGGUAACAGCAGGUUUCAAGACCUCUGCUGAAUGCCUAAAUAAGCUUUCUGAUUAUUCAAAGAUUUAAUGAAUGUUUUCUGAGAAAUUGCAGCGAAAAGACCUUUGGAUUUCAGUGCGAGCAGAAUUCAGUUAGACAUUCCACUAGUGUCAUCCUUCUUAAAAUUCAAAUUAAAUAACCAAUGUUCCAAAGCAUAAAAUUCCAAAUGCAUUUUCUUUCCAAAAACAUCUUUCUUCUUCAGGUGUCACUACUUCUCGUAAAGACAUGAUUCUCAUUUCCCUCUAUGUCUGAAACCUCCAUCUCUCCACCUACACCAUCAGUUAGUCCUCAGAUGGACAAGUGCAGUGGUCCCCUGACCCUCGUGGGCCUAUGAUGGCUCCUCUCACAUCCACCAAAUCAUCUUACAAGGUCUCUUUGCAUAUUAUAAUUCUGAAAUAAAAUCUGGUUGUUAUAUAUUAUGCUACAUAUCCUUUCAGUAUUCCCUAUUGACUACCAAGUAAAUAUGGUUAGGAGUCAAUCUGGGUCCCCAGGUCAGGGUCUCCAGGUGUGGGGUCCUGAGCAAUUAUUUCUUCAGAGCCCCUGUCUAUAUAAACAAUUUGAUACGCAAUGGAAUACUACUCAGCCAUAAAAAAGAACCAAAUAAUGCCAUUUGCAGCAACAUGGAUGGAACUUAGAGACUCUCAUACUAAGUGAAGUAAGUCAGAAAGACAAAUACCAUAUGUUAUCACUUAUAUCUGGAAUCUAAUAUAUGGCACAAAUGAGCCUUUCACAUAAAAGAAACUUAUGGACUUGGAGAACAGACUUGUGGUUGCUGAGAGGGAGAGAGAGGGAUUAUAUCUGGGAUUAAUAGAUGCAAACUACUGCAGAUGCAAACCAUUGCAUUUGGAGUGGAUAAGCAAUGAGAUUCUGCUGAUUAGCACAGGGACCUAUAUCUAGUCAUUUGUGAUAGAACAUGAUGGAAGAUAAUGUGAGAAAAAUAGUGUGCGUGUAUAUAUAUAUAUACAUAUAUAUAUAUGUCACUUUGCUGUACAGUAGAAAUUGACAGAACACUUUAAACCAACUAUAAUGGAAAAAAUAAAAAUCAUAAAAAAAGAAGCCGUAGCCCAUUGGGCAAUGUGAAUUAUAGUGAUUUACUGUUGAAGAUUUGAAAUCACAGGUGGAGAAGAUGGGCUUAUAUAUUUAUGCAUCAUCCACUCAGGGCAGGUGAAGAUUCUUCACAGCAUCCAGGCUCCAUCUCUUCCUGUUCAGGCUGUGGUAACCAUCCUAUCAUUACCAUUCAGUGGUGAUGACUCCUCAUUUGUGCUAAUAGGAUUAUUUCUCCCUUUCUUAUUUUCACUCCUGACAUUCCAGAAAUUGUUGCUGGUUCCUGACUUAAUUUGAGUCCAAAACUAAUUAUGCUUUUCAUCUUUUUCCCAUUGAGGGAAAAAGCAGCAAUAUUGUUAAAACCCACAAUGCCAGAGUUCCUGUUGUGGCUCAAUAAUUAACAAACCCAACUAGCAUCCAUGAGGAUGCUGGUUCGACCCCCUGGCCUCGCUCAUGGGUUAAGGCUCCCAUGUUGCCAUGACCUGCGGUGUUGUCACAGAUACAGCUUGGAUCCAGCAUUGCUUUGGCUCUGGUGUAGGCCAGCAGCUACAGCUCCGAUUGGACCCCUAGCCUGGGAACCUCUGCAUUGCCACGGCUGUGGCCCUAAAAGGACCAAAAAAAAAAAAAAAAAACCUACAAUGCCAAAGCUCUCUCCAGGAUCUGUUUGUAUGGACAUAAUAUAGAUCUUCUUGCCUCUGCAGUUUCAUAAUAUCAUUUCUACAAUGCUGGUUACAAUACUCAUGAUGUUUUCCCCAGUCACUGAACUGCCC
Molecule: long non-coding RNA, 1996 nt
Filed under: Sus scrofa (pig)
Lineage: Eukaryota; Metazoa; Chordata; Mammalia; Artiodactyla; Suidae
Description: lncRNA (ENSSSCG00030000526.1)
Source: RNAcentral